AUGUUGAAAAUAAAAUCAACCAGGUUUGUUUCGCAUGAUCAGUCCUGGCUUGUGAGAGAAAUUACAAUUACAUAGAUCAUCCUCAGUAUCCCAGUACACACCAUGUAGGUGAUAAUAUUCAUGGGUGUUAUAACUUUGAUGGUAUCGAUUUCCCCAUCAAGAUGCAGGACAUACAUAAA
Molecule: long non-coding RNA, 179 nt
Organism: Schistocerca serialis cubense
Lineage: Eukaryota; Metazoa; Arthropoda; Insecta; Orthoptera; Acrididae
Exons: 2
Source: RefSeq, a predicted model, not a curated record